AGUCGAGCGAAGCACCUUGACGGAUUUCUUCGGAUUGAAGCCUUGGUGACUGAGCGGCGGACGGGUGAGUAACGCGUGGGUAACCUGCCUCAUACAGGGGGAUAACAGUUGGAAACGGCUGCUAAUACCGCAUAAGCGCACAGUACCGCAUGGUACGGUGUGAAAAACUCCGGUGGUAUGAGAUGGACCCGCGUCUGAUUAGGUAGUUGGUGGGGUAACGGCCUACCAAGCCGACGAUCAGUAGCCGACCUGAGAGGGUGACCGGCCACAUUGGGACUGAGACACGGCCCAAACUCCUACGGGAGGCAGCAGUGGGGAAUGUUGCACAAUGGGGGAAACCCUGAUGCAGCGACGCCGCGUGAGCGAUGAAGUAUUUCGGUAUGUAAAGCUCUAUCAGCAGGGAAGAAAAUGACGGUACCUGACUAAGAAGCCCCGGCUAACUACGUGCCAGCAGCCGCGGUAAUACGUAGGGGGCAAGCGUUAUCCGGAUUUACUGGGUGUAAAGGGAGCGUAGACGGCAUGGCAAGCCAGAUGUGAAAGCCCGGGGCUCAACCCCGGGACUGCAUUUGGAACUGUCAGGCUAGAGUGUCGGAGAGGAAAGCGGAAUUCCUAGUGUAGCGGUGAAAUGCGUAGAUAUUAGGAGGAACACCAGUGGCGAAGGCGGCUUUCUGGACGAUGACUGACGUUGAGGCUCGAAAGCGUGGGGAGCAAACAGGAUUAGAUACCCUGGUAGUC
Molecule: ribosomal RNA, 735 nt
Filed under: uncultured bacterium
Lineage: Bacteria
Description: bacterial SSU rRNA
Rfam family: Bacterial small subunit ribosomal RNA
Source: RNAcentral